AUAUCAAUAAGCGGAGGAAAAGAAACCAACAGGGAUUGCCUCAGUAACGGCGAGUGAAGCGGCAACAGCUCAAAUUUGAAAUCUGGCCCCCUCGGGGUCCGAGUUGUAAUUUGGAGAAGAUGCUUCGGGUGCGGCCCCGGUCUAAGUUCCUUGGAACAGGACGUCACAGAGGGUGAGAAUCCCGUACGUGCCCGGUGGUCGCUCCCGUGUGAAGCUCUUUCGACGAGUCGAGUUGUUUGGGAAUGCGGCUCUAAAUGGGUGGUAUAUUUCAUCUAAAGCUAAAUAUAUUGGCCAGAGACCGAUAGCGCACAAGUAGAGUGAUCGAAAGAUGAAAAGCACUUUGGAAAGAGAGUUAUAAACAGUAC
Molecule: ribosomal RNA, 365 nt
Filed under: uncultured fungus
Lineage: Eukaryota; Fungi
Description: eukaryotic LSU rRNA
Rfam family: Eukaryotic large subunit ribosomal RNA
Source: RNAcentral